This is a long non-coding RNA of Schistocerca cancellata (South American locust), 841 nucleotides long. RefSeq lists it as uncharacterized. NCBI's taxonomy places the organism in Eukaryota, Metazoa, Arthropoda, Insecta, Orthoptera, Acrididae. The transcript is spliced from 2 exons. The record is from RefSeq and is a predicted model, not a curated record.
GUCUCGAUUUCACAAAAGUAGUGAGUGUACUGCUUAAGCUGGGCGAAAAUGUGUCUGUAUUUGGUGUCUUGGGUUUUUUAAUGGAGAAGAAGGAAUCUUUUAAUAAUACACCUGACAAGCAUUAAGUAUCUACACCGUUUUUUAUGCAUAAAGAUGCGCAUUUUACUGGCUAAUGUUGUCGAUUGUACUGCUGCAGUGAGAUACUAUCAUCUUCGCCGUGCCGCUUACCCAACAACGGAAGUUGAACACCGAAAAACGGGUCUGCGCAAAACAGUUGAUUUGAGCGGCGCUACUCGCAAGAUGUGAUGGUUUUUUACACAUAAAUACUGAGGACAGUCCGCGAAGGCGGGAAGGUCAAAGGGCGCACACAAACCGUGGGCGGAGUAGCCACGCCCUUCCAGCGGCCACCCAAGACGCCGCAACAGCCAACUGCUUCUCUGCAGCUAUCUUCAAGAACGCCAACACAAGUCUCAGCUUCCAUUCGGUUCGCAUUAUCUUUCCGUAUGAUUCAGAUAUGGUCUGCAGCAGUCAGAAAGUAGGCCCUUAAUUCGCAGUUAUUUUAUAUUCACGAAUUACCCUUUUUUGUAAAUUAGUGCAGAGCCAUCACGAGAAUCUCUUUGAAAGACAAGCAGUGACCUGUAUUAGAUCCAUCUACAGUGAAUUCACAGGUAUUGGAAUUGUGAUCAAGACCUCAGGAAAUCAGAGUCUUCAUACUACAUAUGCAUAGACUUUGUGAAUGGUGACUUACAGAUUUUAAAAGUUACAAAGUAUCUUAAGCUUCUACUGUUUCAUUAGCAGUGUCUUACAGUGAUCACUAAAUAAAUGUUGCUUUAAAAACUUC